GGGGAAUUUUCCGCAAUGGGCGAAAGCCUGACGGAGCAAUACCGUGUGAGGGAGGAAGGCUCUUGGGUUGUAAACCUCUUUUAUUCGGGAAGAAGAUCUGACGGUACCGAAUGAAUCAGCAUCGGCUAACUCCGUGCCAGCAGCCGCGGUAAUACGGAGGAUGCAAGCGUUAUCCGGAUUUAUUGGGCGUAAAGCGUCCGCAGGUGGCUAUACAAGUCUGCUGUUAAAGCGUGGGGCUUAACUCCAUACAGGCAGUGGAAACUGUAAAGCUAGAGUCUGGUAGGGGUCACGGGAAUUCCCAGUGUAGCGGUGAAAUGCGUAGAUAUUGGGAAGAACACCAGCGGCGAAAGCGCGUGACUGGACCGGAACUGACACUCAUGGACGAAAGCUAGGGGAGCGAAAGGGAUUAGAUACCCCUGUAGUC
This 424-nucleotide ribosomal RNA is filed under the name uncultured cyanobacterium. RNAcentral's name for it is "bacterial SSU rRNA". It matches the Rfam family "Bacterial small subunit ribosomal RNA", at positions 356 to 795 of the family's 1533-position model. The record is from RNAcentral. Lineage: Bacteria; Bacillati; Cyanobacteriota.